This 253-nucleotide ribosomal RNA is filed under the name uncultured bacterium. Its description in RNAcentral is "partial 16S ribosomal RNA". It matches the Rfam family "Bacterial small subunit ribosomal RNA", at positions 524 to 776 of the family's 1533-position model. The record is from RNAcentral.
AACGUAGGACACAAGCGUUAUCCGGAGUUACUGGGCGUAAAGGGCGUGUAGGCGGAUCGGUAAGUCUACUCUGAAAGCUCCUGGCUAAACUGGGAGAGGCGAGUGGAGACUGUCGGUCUAGAGUGAGGAAGAGGAAAGUGGAAUUCCGCGUGUAGUGGUGAAAUGCGUAGAUAUCAGGAGGAACACCGGUGGUGUAGACGGCUUUCUGGACCGUAACUGACGCUGAGACGCGAAAGCGUGGGGAGCAAACAGG